UACGGAAGGCAGCAGUGGGGAAUAUUGCACAAUGGGCGCAAGCCUGAUGCAGCCAUGCCGCGUGUAUGAAAAAGGCCUUCGGGUUGUAAAGUACUUUCAGUCGUGAGGAAGGUGUUAAGGCUAAUAACCUUAGCAAUUGACGUUAGCGACAGAAGAAGCACCGGCUAACUCCGUGCCAGCAGCCGCGGUAAUACGGAGGGUGCUAGCGUUAAUCAGAAUUACUGGGCGUAAAGAGCACGUAGGUGGUUUUUUUAAGUCAGAUGUGAAAUCCCCUGGGCUUAACCUGGAACUGCAUUUUGAAACUGAAUACUAGAGUAUCGUAGAGGGAGGUAGAAUUCUAGGUGUAGCGGUGAAAUGCGUAGAUAUCUGGAGGAAUACCUGUGGCGAAAGCGGCUCCUAAACGGAUACUGACACUGAGUGCGAAAGCGUGGGGAGCAAACAGGGAUUAGAUACC
Molecule: ribosomal RNA, 454 nt
Filed under: uncultured bacterium
Lineage: Bacteria
Description: bacterial SSU rRNA
Rfam family: Bacterial small subunit ribosomal RNA
Source: RNAcentral